UACGUAGGGUGCAAGCGUUGUCCGGAAUUAUUGGGCGUAAAGAGCUCGUAGGCGGUCUGCCGCGUCUGCUGUGAAAACUCAGGGCUUAACCCUGAGCUUGCAGUGGGUACGGGGCAGACUAGAGUGCGGUAGGGGAGACUGGAAUUCCUGGUGUAGCGGUGAAAUGCGCAGAUAUCAGGAGGGAACACCGGUGGGCGAAGGC
RNAcentral lists this ribosomal RNA (202 nucleotides) under uncultured bacterium. RNAcentral describes it as "partial 16S ribosomal RNA". It matches the Rfam family "Bacterial small subunit ribosomal RNA", at positions 524 to 722 of the family's 1533-position model. The record is from RNAcentral.